Molecule: ribosomal RNA, 396 nt
Filed under: uncultured bacterium
Lineage: Bacteria
Description: partial 16S ribosomal RNA
Rfam family: Bacterial small subunit ribosomal RNA
Source: RNAcentral
AUACGUAGGUGACAAGCGUUAUCCGGAUUUACCGGGCGUAAAGGGCGCGUAGGCGGUCUUGCAAGUCAGAAGUGAAAUUCCCGAGCUCAACUCGGGAGCUGCUUCUGAAACUGCAGGACUUGAGUGCUGGAGGGGAUAGCGGAAUUCCUAGUGGAGCGGUAAAAUGCGAAGAUAUUAGGAAAAACACCUGUGGCGAAGGCGGCCCACUGGACAGUAACUAUGCCUGAGGAGGGAAGGCGUGGGGACAAAACAGAAUUAAGUACCCUGGUAGCCCCCGCCGUAAACAAUGAAUACUAGGUGUAGGGGGUAUCAACUCCCUCUGGGCCGCAAUUAACCCAAUAAGUAUCCCGCCGGGGGAGAAGGGCCGCAAGUUUGAAACCCAAAGGAAUUGACGGG